Cygnus olor (mute swan) is the source of this 1021-nucleotide long non-coding RNA. RefSeq lists it as uncharacterized. The record is from RefSeq and is a predicted model, not a curated record. The transcript has 4 exons. Lineage: Eukaryota; Metazoa; Chordata; Aves; Anseriformes; Anatidae.
CACUUCAGGUUUAUUUGUACUUCUUGAAAUGAAACUGCAAGUCAAUACUAACUGAAGGAAAGUCUUCGCUGACUUCCAAGUCUGGGCACCACUGAAAGAACCUGAAAAGGAUUUGGCCUUUUCUUAUCUUUUUGAAGACUAGUAACAACAACAAAAACUUAGUGCUGAAUACCUGAUUCUAAAUUGAUGCUAUAGACACUAUGGCUGUAGGAGAAAAAGGGUUGGGGAAGGAAGUCUCCUCUCUAAAGGAAGACAUCUGGGAAAGAAGUAUCAACAAUUUCAAAGAGAAUUUUUGGGACAAAUACAUGUAGUAACUUCCCCGUGAGCUACGUGAAGGCUCAUCAGUACACAGAAGCCAGUUUCACAAAGCAAUUACAGAUUCUGAUGACUCAGCUAAAUACCAAAGAUGAGAAACAGAUUCCAUACAGAGCUGUCCUGUACGCUUAUACUCUUGAAAAAGCAGACAUCAGUUGAUAUAUAGGUAAUUAAUGGAUUUAAUGACUUUUUGCAUGCUUACUUGAAAAUUCACAGGGGAAGUCUGUAGUUACAGUUAAUGGUAGCAUCACAGAGGAUUAUUUUUGCCUAGUGAUUUGUAUUUUAUUCCUAGGUGUGUAUGUACAGAUCAUUAAACUCGUAUUCAUGUUGCAAAUAUUUGUGUAAGAAUUAAGUUCAAAAUCCUGAAUGACCAAGCAAAUUUUAUAGUUUGAAGUAAUCUUCCACAGGCAGUUGGCUGUAUGACUAAUAGAAUUACGUAUGCGUAAAAUUGCUUUUACUGUAGAAGCCAAAAUGCAGAAUAAUAGCUUGUCAAACUGUCAUUUGCAAGUGAGAUCAUAGAUUUCGUUGUCCAAAUUAGGUUGCAUUCUCCUUCUUUUGUCAGGUCACAUUCUAAUAACCAUAUUGUGCAUUAAACCCUGUGAUUAUCUGAACACUUGACAGAUGGUAGGCUGUUAAUUUACAUGUAAGAGACAGUGAUUGCCUGUGCAGUAAUGGUAUUCAACAAAAUAUAAAAUGUCAAAAUCCA